This is a non-coding RNA of Peromyscus maniculatus bairdii (prairie deer mouse), 2948 nucleotides long. The record is from RefSeq and is a predicted model, not a curated record. Lineage: Eukaryota; Metazoa; Chordata; Mammalia; Rodentia; Cricetidae.
ACCCACACACGCGCGGAACGAACUGAUUUGCUUGUGCAACGACUCGGGGAAUCGAAUUAUUUUUCCAGUGUCGGACUUUUCAAGGCUCCUGAUGGACGCCAGAGGGUUGCGUGAAACCCCAAGCACCUUGCGCGCCUGCGCCCAUGGGCACGCGGUAUGAUUUUUGAGGAAAUAGCGUUUAGAUCCUACAAGUUCCAAGAGAAGACUUCCCGCGGUGACGGAAUGUCGGGUGUGCUCUGUGCAACUGGUGUACUCGGUUGACAAGGUGGCUAGACGAGCAGGAAGUGAGGCAUACGAACCAGCGAAACCAGAAGAGGGAUGUUAACUGGAGAGGUGGCGGCUUUGCGGUUAGGGACCUGCAUGCAAUUGAACUAACCCAGAAAAGUCAGCAGUCGGGUCUGCGACUCCCUGCCUUCCGAUGGAACACACCCCCCACCCCACCCCGCGCGCGCGCCCCCAGAGUGGCAGGCAGCUGUUCCUGACCCAGGAAGCUUGGAUUAUUCCACCUUGUUUUCUACUGCCUGGGUGCCUGAUUAUCCCAAGCCCUGAGCCACAUCUGUGCCUCCUGGAGGCUACUGGGGAAUCGGUCCCUCUGCUCACUACCCAGGAGCCAGCAGGGCUGUCUCUAGUUCGAGAAUCCUAACAGUGUCCUGCCAUACCCUGCUUCAGAGAGAAGACUGUCCUCCCUGGAAGCUAGUGAACAUCUUUGUUGGGCAUGUGUCUCUGUACGCUGCUGCAAUAUGUACACACGCAUCUGGAAGAUAUAGUCAGACAUUCACUGGCUGUCUUUUCCAACCACACCCCACCUCAAUUCUCAGACAAUCUCUCACUGAACCUGAAACUUAGUGAUUCACCUCGAUGGGCUGGCCAGCAAGCCCUCAAGUCCCUUAUCUCUACCCUGCCUCCACAGGGAUUCCAGAUGUGGGCUGCCACACCAGUGUUUCCCGAAGGUGCCUGGAAUCCAGCUCACAUCCUCGGGCUUGCAGAGCAAGCAAUCUGACUGAAGUAUCUCCCCUUCCUUCUUGUCUUUGAGACAAGAUCUCAUAUAGCCCAGACUGGCCUAUAACUCAGUAUGUAGCUGAGGGUGACUUUAAACUGUUAAUCUUCCUGCCUCCAUCUCCUGAGUGUGGGGAAUACAAAGAUACAUGACCAGGUCUGGCGUCGUGCCCACCGCCGGGCUCUGCAUGCUAGGCAAGCUCCCUGCCGAUUGAGUCACAUCCUCAGCCCCUUCCCUACCUUUUGUUGGUGGUGGUUUUGGUUUUUUAAGACAGGGUUUCUCUGUGUGGGCCUGGCUGUCCUGGAACUCACUCUGUAGACCAGGCUGACCUCAAACUCACAGAAAUCUGCCUGCCUCUGCCUCCUUAGUGUUGGGGUGUCACCAUCACCCAGCCCUUCCCUACAUUUUUAGCAAACUUGAACAUGACUUUCAGCCCUAGACCAGGGUCUCCCAUGACUCUUAACUAGUUUGCAUUUCUUUCUCCUUAAGCAAAAUAGGUCUAAAAUGUAUAUUCCAAACCUGCGUACUCAGUCCCAUGACAGGAACAUUGUCAGCUGGUCAUCUAACCAACUGAGGUAACAGUUCGAGGCCAGCCAAAGCUAUGAGAGCCCACUGGAAAACAAACAAAAGAGGUUUGGGAGACAGCUGGCUUGGUAAAGUGCUUCCCACAGAACGAACGAACGAACGAACGAACGAACGAACGAACGAACGAACGAACGAACGAACGAACGAACGAACGAACGAACGAACGAGGACUGAGUGCGAGCCAGACACAGGAGCACCUACCAUCAUCCCAGUAUCGGGGAAGCAGACGAGAGGAUCCCUGGGGCUUGCCGGCCACCAGGCUAGCUCAGUGAGUGAGGUCCAGGCUGUUGACAAAUGUUUACAGGUUGCAUGCCUUUAAUCCAGCUAAUGUGAGCCAAUCAAGAAAACCCCUCACAGUGUCCCCAGCUAUUUCGUUUAAGACACAGUCAAACUGGCAAUCAAGAUGAGCCAAUACAAGUCCGCCCCUUGUCAGCUUGACACCUAACUGUACCAGGCUUCCUUUUAGGCCACCAACCAGCUCCCAAAUCAUGACAUGGAGACUUGUUCUUAGUUAUAAACGCUCAGCCUUAUUUUAGCUCUUAUUUGAAUCUGUUUCUCUUUAUCUGCGUUCUGCCUCGGGCCUUUUUACCUUUCUUUCUGUGUGUCCUACACUGUGUCUGUUAGCUGGCCCCAGGUGUCUCCCUCCCUUCCUCCCUCAUUCUCUCCUCUCUUGUUCUACUUGAGCCUCGAUUCUCCUCCUAUUUAUCCUCUCUGCUGGUCAGCUCCACCUAUCCCUCUUAUGCUGAACUAUUGGCCAUUCAGCUUUUUAUUAGACCAAUCAGGUGCCUUAGGCAAGCAAGGUGAACCCACAACACAUCUUUUCAUAAUUCAACAAAGGCAGCAGAAACAAAUGUAACACAUCUUUGCAUAGUUAAAUAGUCCACAACACAUAACCACAUCUCUUUUUUUGUUGCUGUUUUUUUUAUUUUCGAUUUUUCCCCACAGACAAGGUUUCUCUGUGUUGCCCUGGCUGACCUGGAACUCACCCUGUAGCCCAGGCUGGCCUCAAACUCAGAGAUCUGCCUGCCUCUGCCUCCCGAGUGCUGGGAUUAAAGACAUGCACCCCCACCACCUGGCAAGAUUUUAUUUUUGAUUAAAUGUAUCUGUGUAUGCACAUGUGCUGGCAAAGGGCAGACAAGUUAGAUCCCUCUGGAGCUGGAGUUACAGGUGGUGUGAGCCUUUUGACAUGGGAGCUAAGAGCUUUGUUCGAAUCCUCUGCAAGCGCGUCUCCAGCCUGUGGAGCUCAGCUUUUUACAUGUGUGCUGACAACCAAACUCAAGUCUUCAUGGGCUACAUAGGGAGACUCUACCUCAAAUUUUUUCUUUUUAUUUAUUUUUAUUUUAUGCACAUUACUGUUUUUGCCAUA